Molecule: ribosomal RNA, 457 nt
Filed under: uncultured bacterium
Lineage: Bacteria
Description: partial 16S ribosomal RNA
Rfam family: Bacterial small subunit ribosomal RNA
Source: RNAcentral
CCUACGGGUGGCAGCAGUGAGGACUCUUGGUCAAUGGGCGAGAGCCUGAACCCGCCAAGUCGCGUGAGGGAGUACUGCCCUAUGGGUUGUCAACCUCUUUUGUCGGGGAGCAAAAGCCGGACGUGUCCGGCUGUGCGAGUACCCGCAGAAAAAGCCUCGGCUAACUCCGGGCCAGCAGCCGCGGUAAUACGGAGGGUGCGAGCGUUAUCCGGAUUUUUUGGGUUUAAAGGGUGCGCAGGCGGAUUUUUAAGUCAGCGGUAAAAACGUGGGGCUCAACCCCAUACAGCCGUUUAAAGUGGUGAUCUAGAGUGUGCGAGAGGGAUGCGGAAUGCGUGGUGUAGCGGUGAAUGCAUAGAUAGCACGCAGAACCCCGAUUGCGAAGGCAGCAUACCGGUGCACAACUGACGCUCAGGCACGAAAGCGUGGGUAUCGAACAGGAUUAGAUACCCUUGUAGUC